CCUACGGGGGGCAGCAGUAGGGAAUCUUCCACAAUGGACGAAAGUCUGAUGGAGCAACGCCGCGUGAGUGAAGAAGGGUUUCGGCUCGUAAAGCUCUGUUGGUAGUGAAGAAAGAUAGAGGUAGUAACUGGCCUUUAUUUGACGGUACUUACUUAGAAAGUCCCGGCUAACUACGUGCCAGCAGCCGCGGUAAUACGUAGGUGGCAAGCGUUGACCGGAUUUAUUGGGCGUAAAGCGAGUGCAGGCGGUUCAAUAAGUCUGAUGUGAAAGCCUUCGGCUCAACCGGAGAAUUGCAUCAGAAACUGGUGAGCUAGAGUGCAGAAGAGGAGAGUGGAACUCCAUGUGUAGCGGUGGAAUGCGUAGAGAUGUGGAAGAACACCAGUGGCGAAGGCGGCUCCCUGGACUGAAACUGACGCUGAGGCUCGAAAGCAUGGGGAGCGAACAGGAUUAGAUACCCUAGUAGUC
RNAcentral lists this ribosomal RNA (465 nucleotides) under uncultured bacterium. Its description in RNAcentral is "partial 16S ribosomal RNA". It matches the Rfam family "Bacterial small subunit ribosomal RNA", at positions 338 to 795 of the family's 1533-position model. The record is from RNAcentral.